Molecule: ribosomal RNA, 870 nt
Filed under: uncultured archaeon
Lineage: Archaea
Description: bacterial SSU rRNA
Rfam family: Archaeal small subunit ribosomal RNA
Source: RNAcentral
AAGCCAUGCGAGUCGCGAGUCUUAGGGACUCGGCGUACCGCUCAGUAACACGUGGGUAACCUGCCCUAUGCUGGGGGAUAACCUCGGGAAACUGAGAAUAAUACCCCAUAGUUCACCACGCCUGGAACGGUGGGUGGACCAAAGCUCCGGCGGCAUAGGAUGGGCCUGCGGCGUAUCAGGUUGUAGGGGGUGUAAUGUACCCUCUAGCCCUCUACGCGUACGGGUGUUGAGAGACAUCGCCCGGAGAUGGAUUCUGAGACACGAAUCCAGACCCUACGGGGUGCAGCAGGCGCGAAAACUUGGCAAUGCGAGAAAUCGUGACCAGGGAACUCCAAGUGCAUCGGGUAAGGCCGAUGCUUUUCUUGACUCUUCAAAGGUCUUGGAAUAAGGGGUGGGUAAGGACGGUGCCAGCCGCCGCGGUAAUACCGGCGCCCCAAGUGGUAGUCGCUUUUAUUGGGCCUAAAACGUCCGUAGCCGGUCUGGUACAUUCGUGGGUAAAUCAACCAGCUCAACUGGUUGAAUUCUGCGAGCACGGCCAGACUUGGGCCCGGGAGAGGUGUGGGGUACUCUCAGGGUAGGGGUAAAAUCCUGUCAUCCUGAGAGGACCACCUGUUGCGAAGGCGCCACACUAGAACGGAUCCGACGGUCAGGGACGAAGCCUAGGGGCACGAACCGGAUUAGAUACCCGGGUAGUCCUAGGUGUAAACGCUGUGGACUUGAUGUUGGGGGCGCUCCGAGCGCACUCAGUGUCGAAGCGAAGGUGAUAAGUCCACUGCCUGGGGAGUACGGUCGCAAGGCUGAAACUUAAAGGAAUUGGCGGGGGAGCACCGCAACCUGAGGAUUGUGCGGUUUAAUUGGAUCAACGCCGGG